UGUUCCCAUGUAUCCUUUGCCCUUCUCCUUCUAGAUGGAAAUGGUCAUGAGUUUGGUAGAUACUGCCUAAGAAUCUGUGUUGAAUUUCUGCAAUGCAUCUUGUCGAUACUACUCACUGCUGCUACUGAGGAUCGGUGGAAGGGGAUAAAUGCUUGCAGAUGUGAUAUCAAUCAGGUUACAUUGGCCCAGAUGAGUUCAAACUUUAUGAGUGUUGUUGGAGUUCAUUCAUCCAGGAUUUGAAGAGAUUGUCAGCUUUGUUUCGGAAAUGACAAUUACAUUCAGCUGGUGUGCUUGUCCCUGAAGACAGCAAAGGCUAUGAUAAUACUACACGCUUAAUUAUUAUGAUGAGCGAGGACACCACUUUGACUGGGACAACAUAUCCAUCCUAGGACAAGCCAAAAAGAGACAAGCAUGAGAAUUCCUAGAAGCAUGGCGUUCCAACCAGAACUGUGUCAACAAAUCGUGGGCGGCAGGGUGGCACAGUGGUUAGCACUGCUGCCUCACAGCACCUGAGACCCGGGUUCAAUUCCCGACUCAGAUGACAGACUGUGUGGAGUUUGCACGUUCUCCCCAUGUCUGCGUGGGUUUCCUCCGGGUGCUCCAGUUUCCUCCUACAGUCCAAAGAUGUGCGGGUCAGGUGAAUUGGCCAUGAUAAAAUUGCCCGUAGUGUUAGGUAAGGGGUAAA
Long non-coding RNA from Hemiscyllium ocellatum (epaulette shark), 685 nucleotides. RefSeq lists it as uncharacterized. The transcript is spliced from 3 exons. Lineage: Eukaryota; Metazoa; Chordata; Chondrichthyes; Orectolobiformes; Hemiscylliidae. The record is from RefSeq and is a predicted model, not a curated record.